This 255-nucleotide ribosomal RNA is filed under the name uncultured bacterium. RNAcentral describes it as "partial 16S ribosomal RNA". It matches the Rfam family "Bacterial small subunit ribosomal RNA", at positions 524 to 776 of the family's 1533-position model. The record is from RNAcentral.
UACGUAGGGUGCGAGCGUUGUCCGGAAUUAUUGGGCGUAAAGAGCUCGUAGGCGGUCUGUCGCGUCUGCUGUGAAAUCCCGAGGCUCAACCUCGGGCUUGCAGUGGGUACGGGCAGGCUGAGAGUGCGGUAGGGGAGAAUGGAACUCCUGGUGUAGCGGUGGAAUGCGUAGAUAAUCGUUUGGAACGCCAAUGGUGAAAACAGACAGCUGGGAGUGUGCUGACGCUGAGACACGAAAGCCAGGGGAGCGAACGGG